AUUAGGGCCAACUGGGUAAAGCUGAGCGGGUGUGCUGUUCCUUAGGCUGUCGAGGCUGUCUCCUACCAGACAGAAACCGAGGUCCAAGGAAGAGGAGGGGAGAGUUUCGGAGCCAAAUGUUUUUCCUCCAGCUAGACUUUACACCCGAUGUUCACUUAGUCUCCCUAGGACAUGUUGUUUCCUUUGCUUCCAGGAACUUUGGUCAAGGGCACCAAAGAGGGGUCUUACUAUGUAAGGCCAUGGUUGGCCUCCAAUUUACAGAAAUUCACCUAUCUCUACCUCCUAAGUGCUGGGAUUAAAGGCAUUCGCCAUGACACUUGGUGAGGUUUAUUAUUAUUAUUAUUAUUAUUAUUGGUGGUGGUGGUGGUGGUGGUUUUGCCUGCACGUAUGUAUGUGCACCAAGCACAUGGCCAGUACCCACGAAGGUCAGAAGAGGGCUUUUGGGUCUCCUGAAACUAGAGUCACAGAUGGCUGUGA
This 477-nucleotide long non-coding RNA is filed under the name Mus caroli (Ryukyu mouse). RNAcentral's name for it is "lncRNA (MGP_CAROLIEiJ_G0004143.1)". The record is from RNAcentral. Lineage: Eukaryota; Metazoa; Chordata; Mammalia; Rodentia; Muridae.